AUUCAGCUGACGAGUCCCAAAUGGGACGAAACGCGCGUCAAACUGGAU
Molecule: non-coding RNA, 48 nt
Organism: Schistosoma curassoni
Lineage: Eukaryota; Metazoa; Platyhelminthes; Trematoda; Strigeidida; Schistosomatidae
Source: Rfam